UUAAGCGAAUAAGCGUACACGGUGGAUGCCUAGGCAAUCAGAGGCGAUGAAGGACGUGCUAAUCUGCGAUAAGCGUCGGUAAGGUGAUAUGAACCGUUAUACCCGACGAUUUCCGAAUGGGGAAACCCAAUAUCCAAUGGAUAUUAUCAUUAACUGAAUACAUAGGUUAAUGAAGCGAACCGGGAGAACUGAAACAUCUCAGUACCCCGAGGAAAAGAAAUCAACCGAGAUUCCCCUAGUAGCGGCGAGCGAACGGGGAACAGCCCAGAGUCUUAAUCAACAGCAGCAUCAGGAGAACGGUCUGGAAAGUCCGGCAGUAAAGGGUGAUAGCCCCGUAUCCGAAGAUGCUGUUAUUGUGAACUCGACGAGUAGGGCGGGACACGUGUUAUCCUGUCUGAAUAUGGGGGGACCAUCCUCCAAGGCUAAAUACUCCUGAUUGACCGAUAGUGAACCAGUACCGUGAGGGAAAGGCGAAAAGAACCCCGGCGAGGGGAGUGAAAAAGAACCUGAAACCGUGUACGUACAAGCAGUAGGAGCCCCACCACUAAGCUAGUGGUGAACUCACAGCGAUUCUUUUGCAUGAUAAAGAGCGGUAGACGACGCGAAGUGACGUCCAACCAAUCCAAUCAGGCAGAGGAGGCUUAGUGGUGGGGUGACUGCGUACCUUUUGUAUAAUGGGUCAGCGACUUAUAUUCUGUAGCAAGGUUAACCGAAUAGGGGAGCCGUAGGGAAACCGAGUCUUAACUGGGCGAAUGAGUUGCAGGGUAUAGACCCGAAACCCGGUGAUCUAUCCAUGGGCAGGUUGAAGGUUGGGUAACACUAACUGGAGGACCGAACCGACUAAUGUUGAAAAAUUAGCGGAUGACUUGUGGAUGGGGGUGAAAGGCCAAUCAAACCGGGAGAUAGCUGGUUCUCCCCGAAAGCUAUUUAGGUAGCGCCUCGUGAACUCAUCUUCGGGGGUAGAGCACUGUUUCGACUAGGGGGUCAUCCCGACUUACCAACUCGAUGCAAACUGCGAAUACCGAAGAAUGUUAUCACGGGAGACACACGGCGGGUGCUAACGUCCGUCGUGAAGAGGGAAACAACCCAGACCGCCAGCUAAGGUCCCAAAGUCAUGGUUAAGUGGGAAACGAAGUGGGAAGGCUCAGACAGCCAGGAUGUUGGCUUAGAAGCAGCCAUCAUUUAAAGAAAGCGUAAUAGCUCACUGGUCGAGUCGGCCCGCGCGGAAGAUGUAACGGGGCUAAACCAUGCACCGAAGCUGCGGCAGCAACACUAAGUGUUGUUGGGUAGGGGAGCGUUCUGUAAGCCUGCGAAGGUGUGCUGUGAGGCAUGCUGGAGGUAUCAGAAGUGCGAAUGCUGACAUAAGUAACGAUAAUGCGGGUGAAAAACCCGCACGCCGGAAGACCAAGGGUUCCUGUCCAACGUUAAUCGGGGCAGGGUGAGUCGACCCCUAAGGCGAGGCUGAAAAGCGUAGUCGAUGGGAAACGGGUUAAUAUUCCCGUACUGGUGGUAACUGCGAUGGGGGAACGGAGAAGGCUAGGUUGUCCGGGCGACGGUCGUCCCGGUUCAAGCAUGUAGGCAGAGUGAUUAGGCAAAUCCGGUCACUUAAUGCUGAGGUGUGAUGACGAGCCACUAAGGUGGUGAAGCAAUUGAUGCCCUGCUUCCAGGAAAAGCCUCUAAGCUUCAGGUUACCAACAAUCGUACCCCAAACCGACACAGGUGGUCAGGUAGAGAAUACUCAGGCGCUUGAGAGAACUCGGGUGAAGGAACUAGGCAAAAUGGUGCCGUAACUUCGGGAGAAGGCACGCUGGCGGUAAGUGAAGUCCCUUGCGGACGGAGCCGAAGCCAGUCGAAGAUACCAGCUGGCUGCAACUGUUUAUUAAAAACACAGCACUGUGCAAACACGAAAGUGGACGUAUACGGUGUGACGCCUGCCCGGUGCUGGAAGGUUAAUUGAUGGGGUUAUCCUUAGGGAGAAGCUCUUGAUCGAAGCCCCAGUAAACGGCGGCCGUAACUAUAACGGUCCUAAGGUAGCGAAAUUCCUUGUCGGGUAAGUUCCGACCUGCACGAAUGGCGUAAUGAUGGCCAGGCUGUCUCCACCCGAGACUCAGUGAAAUUGAACUCGCUGUGAAGAUGCAGUGUACCCGCGGCAAGACGGAAAGACCCCGUGAACCUUUACUAUAGCUUGACACUGAACAUUGAGCCUUGAUGUGUAGGAUAGGUGGGAGACUAUGAAGUGUGGACGCCAGUCUGCAUGGAGUCAACCUUGAAAUACCACCCUUUAACGUUUGAUGUUCUAACCUAGGCCCGUAAUCCGGGUCGGGGACCGUGUCUGGUGGGUAGUUUGACUGGGGCGGUCUCCUCCUAAAGAGUAACGGAGGAGCACGAAGGUUGGCUAAGCAUGGUCGGACAUCAUGCGGUUAGUGCAAAGGCAUAAGCCAGCUUGACUGUGAGAGUGACGGCUCGAGCAGGUACGAAAGUAGGUCUUAGUGAUCCGGUGGUUCUGAAUGGAAGGGCCAUCGCUCAACGGAUAAAAGGUACUCCGGGGAUAACAGGCUGAUACCGCCCAAGAGUUCAUAUCGACGGCGGUGUUUGGCACCUCGAUGUCGGCUCAUCACAUCCUGGGGCUGAAGUAGGUCCCAAGGGUAUGGCUGUUCGCCAUUUAAAGUGGUACGCGAGCUGGGUUUAGAACGUCGUGAGACAGUUCGGUCCCUAUCUGCCGUGGGCGUUGGAAGAUUGAGAGGGGUUGCUCCUAGUACGAGAGGACCGGAGUGAACGCACCACUGGUGUUCGGGUUGUCAUGCCAAUGGCAUUGCCCGGUAGCUAAGUGCGGAAGAGAUAACCGCUGAAAGCAUCUAAGCGGGAAACUUGCCUCGAGAUGAGUCUUCCCUGUCACCUUGAGUGACCUAAAGGAACGUUUAAGACUAAGACGUUGAUAGGCUGGGUGUGUAAGCGUAGCGAUACGUUGAGCUAACCAGUACUAAUGAACCGUGAGGCUUAACCUG
This 3005-nucleotide ribosomal RNA is filed under the name Proteus vulgaris. RNAcentral describes it as "bacterial LSU rRNA". It matches the Rfam family "Bacterial large subunit ribosomal RNA". Lineage: Bacteria; Pseudomonadati; Pseudomonadota; Gammaproteobacteria; Enterobacterales; Morganellaceae. The record is from RNAcentral.